GAGAGGUAUGGGCAUUGCGGUUACCCAACUUUGCACACAAAGUGGAAAAAAAAAAAAUCAUGCUUGCAGUCAUGCUGAUCUUCAUAUUUUUUGCGUGCUGUGUUCCAAUCCCGAUGGCCGAAUGGUCUAAAACUUUACCCCUGGUACCUACGACCCGUGUUCGAUCCCCAUGUGAAAUAGAAGAUAUUUAAAUGAAAACCAGAUGAGGGACUCGAACCCGAGAUGGCAGAUCCACAUGCUCACGGGUUAACCACUAGACCAUCAACAGUACGUAAGAUUACUACUUGAGGAUGCCUUUAUAGCCAAAUCUGCACAGUCUGGACGUUUUUCCAUUUAUACACCGAAGAAACCCGGAAAAUUCACCACCAGAUGGACCAACGGUCUAAAACUUUGCCUCGCACCCCAGCAACUCGGGUUCCAUUCCCGUAAUUUAUACACAGCGUGAAGAAGAAUCAUAACAUAUCAGAGGAUAUUCGAACCAGUGUUGCCGGGAGGGAAGCCGGAGAAUUUUUCCGCUAGACCACGAACAACUUGUCAAAAUCGCCCAUCUACCCGUAUUUCUAGCAAUGCAGACCACCGAUUGGUCAAACGACUAGUACUACCAAAAACUCUCCGAAAAUUCGCAGCGUGACGGACCAAUACUUUAAAUCCUCGCCUUCGGCCUCAGCGAACCGGGUUCGAGUCUUCCACUUGAUACACCACGGAAAGAAGAACCGUAAGUACAUCAGAAGGGUGGAUUCAAACUAAGGUCAUCAAAGGGGAAGCCCGACGCGCUAACCGCUGAUCCAGCAGCAGUAUUGCAAGACACUUCUACUACAUGAAUUUAUCAAAAUACGGCACAUCGUGGCACAUGUUCAGUAGAUAUGACUAUGAAAAAUCGCGAGACAUCAAGACAUGAUGGCCGAAUGGUCUGAGUGCUUGCCUUCAGUUCCGGCAAACCCUGUUCGAUUCCCACACAUUGAGCGGGAGUAUCGAGAAGAACAAGAAUUCGAGGCUAAAGGGAGACUCGAAUCAGAGUCACCGUGUGGAAAGUCUAAGUUUUCAUCCACUGAACCAGCUUCAGCUCAUCUACGAGCAUAUCUUUGUCAAACUUAACAUUAAAACGACACGCGUCUUCUGACCCAAUAAAUACGACGAAAACAUUUUGUGAAAACUCCGAUUCGAUGGUUUAAUGAUUUAAAACUUUGCCUCCGGUUGCCGUGAUCGUGAGUUCGAACCCAACUGUGACCCGUUCCACACGUGAACGAGUAUAAGUGGAGCACAGAGAAGGACUCGAACUGGAGUCGGCAAAUUUAAAGGCCAAGUUCUAAACCUUUAGACCAGCUUAGUUCGGACUCGACAGCGUGUCUGCGUCUAUUUCUGGGUUCGUCAACACAUGAACCCUUUCGGAAAUAUCGCGCUGUGAUGUAAAAUGACAAAUUCAAGUCUGGGUCUGUUGGUUGAGGACAAGAACUCACAUGUGGGAAACCUGAGUUCAAGUCCAGCAUUUUCCAUUGACUUAGUUAUUCUCACCUUUCCAUUUUCAUCCCGCUUGUUUCCGAGCGCUUAUAUAUUUUCCCCUAUUUUUUUUAUGUGAUGACGUCAUCACCCCAAAGCUAUUUAAGUGGGCCAAAGCGGCUACUCGUUCUCUUUUGCCAGCUUCUCCCGUCAUCGGCGUUUCCACGCAAGAUGCUAAAACCUUGCACCAGGUAAGGACGCAUUUGGACAAAAGCGCCGUUUUGCAGGUGGUGCACGACUUCAAAUUGAGCCUGAAAUGGAUGAUUUAAAAAAAAAAAAAAAAUUUCCUCCCCUCUUCGUCUUCACAUUGAAAGUUAAUCAAUUUAACUUCAUCUAAUUGUCUCAUUUGUGUCCGCAGGCUUGCAUCUUGAACCGAGCGCCCAUCCUCGCCGGUGGCACUGAAGAAUUCCUGGAGAACUGCUGAAGUCGAUCUUGAUCAAUGUUGGGACCUUUUGCAGAAUGGAUAAGAGGUCUCGUGGAGAUAUCUCUGCACUGAUCUUGCUUCAGGGUUCUGACUUUUUGCAAAGUCAGACUGGAUGAGUUAAAGUUAUUGCUGUAGGUGGUGGAAACAUGGAGUCGCUAUCAACUUGAGAUCUGCUUCCAGUCCAAGUGCCAGCAGCGACUCUGCCACACCAAGAUUCUGCACCUGCUGGGCAAAGAAGUGGUCUAAAUAUACAGAAGGUCUCCUGGUGAAGUCUCUGCACCAAUCCACUCUGAAGUCCCGGGAGAACUUGAUCUCUUUUGUCAAGGUCAGCUUCCGGUCCAAGUGCCUGCGGAGAAUCUGCCGCACCUGCUGGGCAAAAACAAGAAUGAACAUGCAUCCUCAACAGUUUCAUAUGAAGACUGAUCCUGGCGCAGUAGUGGUGUUCCAUUCUACCAGAGAUGACUUUCCAGGAGUGGCACAAGACAACGUGACCACGUACCAACUGGUGGCACAAAUGUGGAGUCAUGGUGAACUUCCUGUCCAACAUGUUGAGAUCGCCUUCCACUUAGUGCCAUUGCGGCUGCCACAAAGAUCCUGCACCUACUGGGCAAAGACGAGUUCUAGGAAUAUGCAGAAGGUCUCCCGGCGAAGUCUUUGUGUCACCAGUCCACUGUGAAGGUCUGUUUGAUACAAAGACGGUUCUUGUUGCGGUAGUGGUGUUCAAGCAGAAGGCUCCAGUCUCUCUCCAUCCACCAGGUGGUGCUGGAAAACCUGAUCCCGGUCAGCCGCUGAAGUCACUUUGCUUCAGAGUUGGGACCGUUGCAAAGAGGUCGCUGUCAACUGGAGAUCGGCCUGAAGUCCAAGUGGCAUCGGUGAAUCCGGAACCAAGAUCCCGCACCUACUGGGGAGGGGGGAAAAAAAAACCUACAUGAGUGCAGAAGUCUCACGGAGAAAUCACUGCACCAAUCCACUCUGAAGUCCCAGGGGAGCAUGAUCAUCGGAGGUGGAAUGUGCAAACAUGAGCAACUUCUUGUCCAACCUGAGGUUAGCUUCCAGUCAAAGUGCCAGCAGAGACUCUGCUGCACCAAGAUCCUGCAUCUGCUGUCCAAAGUUCUACAGGAGUGUGCAGAAGUUCCUCUUUGCCACAUGUUAAUAAAAUUACUCAACAGCAGCUUGACUGAACGCUCGUUCAUCUUGUGUUUUGUCUCUGCACCACCACCAGUCCGCUCUGAAGGACUGUCGGUUGAUACGAAGACUGUUCAUGUCCCGGUAAUGUUCAAGCAGAAGGCUCCAGUUUCACAUUGUGGCACUGGAGAACCUGAUCCUAAUCCCGAAGUCUGUUUGCGUCAGGGUUUGAACCUUUUGCAAAUACAGACUGGCUGAAUCAAAGUACUUAUCGGUGGCGGAAACACGGCGUCACGAUCAACUGGAGAUCAGCCUCCAGUCCAAGUGGCGGAGGACUCUGCCACCAAGAUCCUGCACCUGCUGGGCAAAGAGUUCUAAAUGCGGUCUCCUGGAGAAAUCUCGUGCCACCAGUCCACAGAGGGGUCCUCCAGAAGCAGUUUGAUCUGAAGAGGGUUCCUCUUGGUGCCCUCCAACUGCUUCUGCUGCUCGUCUGUCCAGUGAGUGUGCAGAUGGCGCCAUCAGUCUUGCAAGGUAAAACGCUGCAGUCACAGUUGAGUGCAGAAGUGCACACAAGUUCUUUUCCUGUCAUCCACAAGGUGCAGCUGCCUGAGACCUUUGACCCAUGGAUGGUAGACGCUUCGAAACGUCUUCAUCCCACAAUGAGGUAUUCAUGUUAUUUGAGUUUGUUUUUCCCUCCUUCUUCCAGAGUUGCUGAGGAACCUGGUAAGCUUCCCGGUCACGCAGCCAUGAGUCCCCAAUCUUCCUUGGUGGUAGGUUUCACGUUAAGGAUCAUUU
Molecule: long non-coding RNA, 3841 nt
Organism: Syngnathoides biaculeatus (alligator pipefish)
Lineage: Eukaryota; Metazoa; Chordata; Actinopteri; Syngnathiformes; Syngnathidae
Exons: 17
Source: RefSeq, a predicted model, not a curated record